Molecule: ribosomal RNA, 253 nt
Filed under: Desulfovibrio piger ATCC 29098
Lineage: Bacteria; Pseudomonadati; Thermodesulfobacteriota; Desulfovibrionia; Desulfovibrionales; Desulfovibrionaceae
Description: partial 16S ribosomal RNA
Rfam family: Bacterial small subunit ribosomal RNA
Source: RNAcentral
UACGGAGGGUGCAAGCGUUAAUCGGAAUCACUGGGCGUAAAGCGCACGUAGGCUGUUAUGUAAGUCAGGGGUGAAAUCCCACGGCUCAACCGUGGAACUGCCCUUGAUACUGCACGACUCGAAUCCGGGAGAGGGUGGCGGAAUUCCAGGUGUAGGAGUGAAAUCCGUAGAUAUCUGGAGGAACAUCAGUGGCGAAGGCGGCCACCUGGACCGGUAUUGACGCUGAGGUGCGAAAGCGUGGGGAGCAAACAGG